AUUGAACGCUGGCGGUAGGCCUAACACAUGCAAGUCGAACGAGUGGCGGACGGGUGAGUAACGUCUGGGAAACUGCCUGAUGGAGGGGGAUAACUACUGGAAACGGUAGCUAAUACCGCAUACCAUCAGAUGUGCCCAGAUGGGAUUAGCUAGUUGGUGGGGUAACGGCUCACCAAGGCGACGACCCCUAGCUGGUCCGAGAGGAUGACCAGCCACACUGGAACGGGGACACGGACCGAACUCCUACGGAAGGCGGCAGUGGGAAAUAUUGCACAAUGGGCGCAAGCCUGAUGCAGCCAUGCCGCGUGUAUAAAGAAGGCCUUCGGGUUGUAAAGUACUUUCAGCGGGGAGACGUUACCCACAGAAGAAGCACCGGCUAACUCCGUGCCAGCAGCCGCGGUAAUUC
RNAcentral lists this ribosomal RNA (406 nucleotides) under uncultured bacterium. RNAcentral's name for it is "partial 16S ribosomal RNA". It matches the Rfam family "Bacterial small subunit ribosomal RNA", at positions 30 to 526 of the family's 1533-position model. The record is from RNAcentral.